UGGAAGCCUCUGCUCGUCAGAUGUUCUAUGUGCUUAUAGAGAAAUUCAGUCCUCCAGAAGGCUUCUUCCAAGGUCCUGCUGGGCUUUCAACAAGACCAUUCUGG
RNAcentral lists this long non-coding RNA (104 nucleotides) under Mustela putorius furo (domestic ferret). Its description in RNAcentral is "lncRNA (ENSMPUG00000029114.1)". Lineage: Eukaryota; Metazoa; Chordata; Mammalia; Carnivora; Mustelidae. The record is from RNAcentral.